UACAGAGGGUGCGAGCGUUGUUCGGAAUUAUUGGGCGUAAAGAGCGCGUAGGCGGUUUGCUAAGUCUGGUGUGAAAGCCCUCGGCUUAACUGAGGAAGUGCAUUGGAUACUGGCAGGCUUGAGUGUGAGAGAGGAGAGUGGAAUUCCUGGUGUAGCGGUGAAAUGCGUAGAUAUCAGGAGGAACACCGGUGGCGAAGGCGGCUCUCUGGAUCAUAACUGACGCUGAGGCGCGAAAGCGUGGGUAGCAAACAGG
Molecule: ribosomal RNA, 253 nt
Filed under: uncultured bacterium
Lineage: Bacteria
Description: partial 16S ribosomal RNA
Rfam family: Bacterial small subunit ribosomal RNA
Source: RNAcentral